Molecule: microRNA precursor, 200 nt
Organism: Medicago truncatula (barrel medic)
Lineage: Eukaryota; Viridiplantae; Streptophyta; Magnoliopsida; Fabales; Fabaceae
Rfam family: MIR2619 microRNA precursor family
Source: Rfam
AAACAGCCCCCUACGUAUUGGAUCUUUGGCAGUUUUGGUCCCCAAGGCAAUUUUGACUUAGUCUUCGCUGACGUGACACCUACAAUGGUCGACACGUGGCACCUCACGUAAGGGAUGUGGGUGCCACGUCAGCAAAGACUAAGUUAAAAGUGGCUUUGGGGGCCAAAACUGCCAAAGAUUUAAUACAUAGGGAGCUAUUU